GCACAUGGAGGAAGCCCAUCCUUUCCCUCCACCACGUGUCCUGCUGAAGCAGAUGGUGCCGUGUGGCUCCGCCAUGCCACUGCGGUCGCCUUGUAAGAGCUGCUGCCAUAAGGAGGUGGGUUAGAGGGAGAUUUGGGGUGACAGUGUUUGGCAGGGGCUACAAAGUGAAGAUGUAGGGAGGAGAGAAAGAGCUUGGUGCCUUGGGCUGACACCAAGGAGGCCUAAUGAGAUGAGCUAAGGUGAAGAGAUAACAGCCCUGAAGUCUGGCUUCAUACCAAAAGAGGAUCAGCAAGGCAUUGGGAGGCGACUCCCUGCUGUUAAUGCAGUGAGAGAGAAGCAGAGGAGCAGCCAGACGAGCAAAGACAGCCGGCACCUCACACUGGCUUUGGGUUUGUCCUCUGGAUUAUCCUGCGUUCCUUGGUCUGCACGGCUCUGGUCUCCUGCUCACUCCCCAACCUCCGACCUGCACUUAGAACUUUCUGGGCUGUAACCUCAACGUCUCGUUGGCAGCCUACCACCUAAAACCUACCUUAUCCUCUGGGCUUGGACUGAACUAUAAGACCAGGUUAGUUACUCACACAUUCAUCAUCAUCCUCUGCCAUUUAGACAUGGUUACUGACCUGGUCUUCUAGUCCAGUCCGAGUUAGUGACUCACAAGUUCAUUAUCAUAAUUCGCAAUAUUGACACGGUCACUAACCUGUGCUCUCCUGCAGAGGUUCCUGCCUUAGAUGCCAACGCUGUUCUCUUCAGUUUCGUCUUAAAUAAACGAUUUGUUAAAUCUGUCUUUCCACCUCGGAUACUGGGUCCUUUUGUUCUGAGCUUUACAGCAUGGUUUAUUUUGGUUACUCUAUUUUGGUUUUGGUUACAAUGGAUGUUAAGCAGUUUUUUUAAAUGGCUACGUCAUGUGCUUUUACAAGGGACCAACUACUAUGAAACAAACCCUGUACAACUUGAUUGAUUAUGAGAAUUGUUUUCGGCGCAGGUUGUAAACAACAGGUUGUUUGGCCCGAGAGAGGCUGCAGGCAGUUUAAAGCAUGAUUAAGUCCAAAGGCAAGGUGGUGAAGGGACUUGAAUGUCAACAUGAGAACUUUAUACCAGCCUAACAUCACACCACUGCAACAGCUCAGCUGUAGAGGUAUUCAGCAGCACCAAAUCCCUGGGGGUGCACAUGACAGACAACGUCACUUGACUAUAAACACCUCACUGAUCGAAAGGGUACAAAAGCGCUUGUAAUUGCUGCGGAGGAUGAGGAAAGCCCACCUGCCCCCAUUCAUCCUCAUGACCUUCUACAGAAGCAGGAUAGAGAGCAUUCUCACAGUGUGGUGUGAAGGCUGCAACACCUCAGACUGGAAGAUCGUGAGAAGAGUGGUGAAAACAGCAGAGAGGAUCAUCGGUGCUCAACUCCCCUCCGUAAAAGACAUUUCAUCC
This is a long non-coding RNA of Cyprinodon tularosa, 1428 nucleotides long. RefSeq lists it as uncharacterized. The transcript is spliced from 4 exons. The record is from RefSeq and is a predicted model, not a curated record. NCBI's taxonomy places the organism in Eukaryota, Metazoa, Chordata, Actinopteri, Cyprinodontiformes, Cyprinodontidae.